GACGAACGCUGGCGGCGGGCUUAACACAUGCAAGUCGAACGGAAAGGCCCUGCUUUUGUGGGGUGCUCGAGUGGCGAACGGGUGAGUAACACGUGAGUAACCUGCCCUUGACUGUGGGAUAACUUCAGGAAACUGGGGCUAAUACCGGAUAGGAGCUCCUGCUGCAUGGGGGGGGUUGGAAAGUUUCGGCGGGUGGGGCUGGACGCGCGGCUUAUCAGCUUGUUGGGGGAGUAGUGGCUUACCAAGGGUUUGGCGGCUAGCCGGCCUGGGAGGGUGACCAGCGACAUUGGGCCUGAGGUACGGCCCAGACUCCAACGGGAGGCAGCAGGGGGGAAUAUUACCCAAUGGGCGGAAGCCUGAUGCAGCAACGCCGCGUGCGGGAUGACGGCCUUCGGGUUGUAAACCGCUUUCGCCUGUGACGAAGCGUGAGUGACGGUAAUGGGUAAAGAAGCACCGGCUAACUACGUG
Molecule: ribosomal RNA, 468 nt
Filed under: uncultured bacterium
Lineage: Bacteria
Description: partial 16S ribosomal RNA
Rfam family: Bacterial small subunit ribosomal RNA
Source: RNAcentral